Phyllopteryx taeniolatus (common seadragon) is the source of this 979-nucleotide long non-coding RNA. RefSeq lists it as uncharacterized. The record is from RefSeq and is a predicted model, not a curated record. Lineage: Eukaryota; Metazoa; Chordata; Actinopteri; Syngnathiformes; Syngnathidae. The transcript is spliced from 3 exons.
UCACUUCCGCCUUCAACCCAUCGCAGUUAGCUCCCCGAGGCAUAUUAGGGAGCAGCUCGAGCGUCAUACGUGUUUAUCAACGACUUGGUUUUGAUAGUGGUCCAUACACAGUUGCCUGAGGAGGUCGUCCGUUGGUGGACGCUCAAACGUAACAAUUCACGUGCACACAAAUGCAACGUAGGGACAAUUAUCAGCCGGCCAUUUUCUUGUUUUGAGAGACUAUUGACCACGAACAGAAACACGCCGUUCAUAAACACAUCAGAAAGGGAAGUGACGUUUGACCUGCCUCGUCCGAUGCCGCUGCAGCAAAAUGCGCUUACUCCGAUGGACCCAUGAGGUUUCGUCUGCUACAUGAUAAGGGGCAGAUAUUGCAUGUGUAUCCAUAUUCACAGCAGUGCUGACCAUCUGCACAACACUGGCCCUGAAAAUCAACAACAGUCUGGUGUUAGAACACAAUCAUUCCAUUAUAGGUGAGAUGUUUGCCGUCUAUUUGGAGGCUGCCUAUGCGAAAAUACAUGGAAUGAGAGCACAACAGUAUGCGCACGUUGGGUUGAUACUAAAUAAAAAGUUGGUUCCACAGUGUCAGACAUUCCUGCAUUGGCAGGAAACCAGGAAUUAGCCCUGAAGCAGGUAUUCCUGACUUCAGGCCUGCACAUAGAGGACAAGCGCUCCAGCCUCGAGCAGGAAUGGCUAACACCAGAUGAUAAUAUUCUGGCCACAUGUGAACAGACUGAAAGAAUACCAAAUCCAUACCAGUGGGUAAGGACAGCAAUUCCAGGAUUCUGAUGACAAUCCUUUGCAGCAAGAUGUGCCUUGUGGGCAGAAGAACUUCGAAUUGCAGCGAAUGACUCCAAACUCCUGCUUGCUCCCACUGGUGUGUACUACAGCUGGUACAUGCGUCUGCAACAAGAUAAAAUUGUAUAUGUUGUUAUACUGGCUUAUUUGUGCACAAAAGAUUAAAUACUACAGAAACACUUUG